Molecule: long non-coding RNA, 1113 nt
Organism: Amphimedon queenslandica
Lineage: Eukaryota; Metazoa; Porifera; Demospongiae; Haplosclerida; Niphatidae
Exons: 4
Source: RefSeq, a predicted model, not a curated record
CUGUUAAAAAAAGGAAUCACUACUUCACAGUACUCGAAGUUGUUCCUAAUUGUUUCAUGUAGCUUCAAUUGAAUUAUUAUUUAUUAUUAUUAUUUUUAUUAUUAGUAUAAUGUUAUUAUCAUUAUUGUUUUUAUUAUUUAGGAUCGUGAGACAUUGCGUCAGAUUGGUAGGCGAGAGCUUCAAAGUGAGCUCCAAGAGACAAAGAAAGCUGUAGCUAGGAGAACAGCACCUGAGAUCAUCAACAGUAUAAGUGGUAUGAAUUUAGAAACAGCUGCUGUUAUAUCGGAACUGAUUGUUGAUAGGACACUGGACGAACUGGAGGGAUGCACUGGAAGACUGCACAGUAUGAGUGAAAGGAUUGCUGGAUCUCCCAGUAAAAGAGUGUCUUAGAUAUUCUCAUUCAGAACUAAAGACCAGACCACACCCAUGGGAAAGAGGAGACGCAGGAAAGAUGAUAAUGAAGAAGAUGAUGAUGAAAUUGUUCUUCCUUCUGAUCCUCUAACGACUGAUGGCCCCACCCUCCAGCACCUCGGAAACAAGAGACCACGCCCACAAAGACGUAAUCAAAAUUGUCCGGCAGGCCUCAAGAAGGCAGCGGAGACGGGACCUUCCUCAAUAUGGGACCUUCCAGCCAGUGAUGACACUGAUAAUAACAGCACUCCAGUAGAGACUAAAAAGUAAAAUUUAUAACUGUGCAUAUGCAUAUUUAGCCACGGCCACAACCAUAUUAGCCACGCCCAGUCUAAUAAAUAAUUGGAAAAUAGAGAGCUUUUAAGAACAUGUAAAGAGUGCAAAUUUUCCCUUUCUGAAAUCACCCUCAAUUUUUUACUACAUUCUCUGAUACAAACUGCUGUCCUUGUGCUAAUAAGAAUUUUGUGUUAAUCUGACCAUAGGCGGCUGCAGGAUUUCACUGCAAGUAGGGCAAAGGUGUGGCUGAAAGUGGGAGUGGUCAAAAGGUAGGUGUGGCCAUGACCACACCCACAUGUCUUGCUCUUGAGUUUUAAGACCUUUAAGACUUCUAUUUCAGCAUUUUGUGAAGAAAUCAAGUUGAAAGAGGCUCUAAAAUUCUCAAUGAAGAGUUACCCUGCCAUUCUUGUGUUCAAGAAGAGAAAA